ACUUAGUAGUUGGAAAUCCCAGACCCACAUAGGUGAGCUCUUUGACACUGUCAUACAUUUGAUCAAUGUCGAGAUCUGGAGAAGGAUUAUCAUCUCAAAGUUCAACAAACGGCUGUUGCAACUCUGGAAAAAGUGGCCCAGGGAAAUCUGGACAAGGAUGAGCCAGAUGAGGACACAAAAGCAGUGAUGAGUGCAUUGGCCACCAGCCACGAUAACCACCUGCUGAAGAUCCGUGACUGGGAGAAUCAGCUGCUUACACGUGCCAAUGCCUGGAAAGUGUCCCUCAUUAAAGGGUUUCAAGAGAAAGAAGUUAUUCAUGACAGCACGCGCAUCUCAGAUAUCCAUCGUUAUGGGCAGUACAUAAGGGGACUGCUCAAGAAAGCUCCACAAAUGGCCCGCAAGUAAAAAAAGAUGUAAUUUCCUAUUGGCUAUAUUUAUGUAAUGUAAAUAUGUAGUAAAAGAGAUUUAAUGCUUUUUGUUCCUCCUUGUUCCAGUUGUAACAAUAUCCAUGCUUAUACUGAAAUUAAUCACAUUUGACCCAAAAUUGUCAGCAAAAUGUAUCUACCAUAUUUAUUCAGGUUUUAUUCAGUGUUCAUUUUUUCAUUGUGUAAAUGAAUGGAAAUCUCAAAAACUUAAACUGCUGCCUUUAUUUUUAUUUUGGCUAGUUUUGU
Molecule: long non-coding RNA, 671 nt
Organism: Cololabis saira (Pacific saury)
Lineage: Eukaryota; Metazoa; Chordata; Actinopteri; Beloniformes; Belonidae
Exons: 3
Source: RefSeq, a predicted model, not a curated record